UACAGAGGGGGCAAGCGUUGUUCGGAAUUACUGGGCGUAAAGGGCGCGUAGGCGGCCCGCUAAGUCGAACGUGAAAUCCCCGAGCUCAACUCGGGAACUGCGUCCGAUACUGGAAGGCUUGAAUCCGGGGGAGGGAUGCGGAAUUCCAGGUGUAGCGGUGAAAUGCGUAGAUAUCUGGAGGAACACCGGUGGCGAAGGCGGCAUCCUGGACCGGUAUUGACGCUGAGGCGCGAAAGCCAGGGGAGCAAACGGG
This 253-nucleotide ribosomal RNA is filed under the name uncultured bacterium. Its description in RNAcentral is "partial 16S ribosomal RNA". It matches the Rfam family "Bacterial small subunit ribosomal RNA", at positions 524 to 776 of the family's 1533-position model. The record is from RNAcentral.